This 338-nucleotide ribosomal RNA is filed under the name Escherichia coli. RNAcentral describes it as "partial 23S ribosomal RNA". It matches the Rfam family "Bacterial large subunit ribosomal RNA", at positions 2031 to 2368 of the family's 2925-position model. The record is from RNAcentral. Lineage: Bacteria; Pseudomonadati; Pseudomonadota; Gammaproteobacteria; Enterobacterales; Enterobacteriaceae.
ACUCAGUGAAAUUGAACUCGCUGUGAAGAUGCAGUGUACCCGCGGCAAGACGGAAAGACCCCGUGAACCUUUACUAUAGCUUGACACUGAACAUUGAGCCUUGAUGUGUAGGAUAGGUGGGAGGCUUUGAAGUGUGGACGCCAGUCUGCAUGGAGCCGACCUUGAAAUACCACCCUUUAAUGUUUGAUGUUCUAACGUUGACCCCUAAUCGGGGUUGCGGACAGUGUCUGGUGGGUAGUUUGACUGGGGCGGUCUCCUCCUAAAGAGUAACGGAGGAGCACGAAGGUUGGCUAAUCCUGGUCGGACAUCAGGAGGUUAGUGCAAUGGCAUAAGCCAGC